UAGAGUUUGAUCCUGGCUCAGGAUGAACGCUAGCGGUAUGCUUAACACAUGCAAGUCGAACGGAGUUUCUAAUAUUGACUUUCGGGAAUUUAUUUUAAACUUAGUGGCGAACGGGUGAAUAACACGUAAGAACCUACCUUUAAGAAGGGGAUAACAGUUAGAAAUGACUGCUAAUACCCUAUAUACCUACGGGUAAAAGAUUUAUCGCUUAAAGCAGGGCUUGCGUCUGAUUAGCUAGUUGGUUGGGUAAAGGCUAACCAAGGCAACGAUCAGUAGCUGGCUUGAGAGGGCGACCAGCCACACUGGGACUGAGACACGGCCUAGACUUCUACGGAAGGCAGCAGUGAGGAAUUUUCCGCAAUGGGCGAAAGCCUGACGGAGCAAUACCGCGUGGAGGAUGAAGGUUCAUGGAUUGUAAACUCCUUUUCUUAGAAAAGAAAUCAAUGACGGUAUCUAAGGAAUAAGCAUCGGCUAACUCCGUGCCAGCAGCCGCGGUAAGACGGGGGAUGCAAGCGUUAUUCGGAAUUAUUGGGCGUAAAGCGUCUGUAGGUGGCUAAAUAAGUCUGGUGUUAAAUACUGAAGCUCAACUUCAGACCUGCAUCAGAAACUAUUUAGCUUGAGUACGUUAGAGGCAGGGGGAAUUCCCAGUGUAGCGGUGAAAUGCGUAGAUAUUGGAGGAACACCAACAGCGAAGGCACCCUGCUGGGCCGAUACUGACACUCAAGGACGAAAGCUAGGGGAGCGAAUGGGAUUAGAUACCCCAGUAGUCCUAGCUGUCAACGAUGGAGGCUAAACGUUGUCCAUUUGGCCAGCGUUGAAGUUAACGCGUUAAGCCUCCCGCCUGGGGAGUACGCUCGCAAGGGUGAAACUCAAAGGAAUUGACGGGGACCCGCACAAGCGGUGGAGCAUGUGGUUUAAUUCGAUGCAACGCGAAGAACCUUACCAGGGCUUGACAUGCCGCGAAUCGCUAUGAAAAUAGUGGAGCCGAAAGGCGCGGUCACAGGUGGUGCAUGGCUGUCGUCAGCUCGUGUCGUGAGAUGUUGGGUUAAGUUCCGCAACGAGCGCAACCCUUAUCCCCAGUUACCUUUUUAGGAACCUGUGGAGACUGCCGGUGUUAAGCCGGAGGAAGGUGAGGACGACGUCAAGUCAUCAUGCCCCUUACGCCCUGGGCUACUCACGUGCUACAAUGGCUAGGACAAUGGGAUGCCACCCUGCGAAGGCGAGCUAACCCCAAAAACCUAGUCUUAGUUCGGAUUGUAGGCUGCAACUCGCCUACAUGAAGCCGGAAUCGCUAGUAAUCGCUGGUCAGCAAUACAGCGGUGAAUACGUUCUCGGGUCUUGUACACACCGCCCGUCACACCAUGGAAAUUGGCUAUGCCCAAAAUCGUCACCCUAACCUUUUGGAUGGGAGCGCUUAAGGUAGAGCUAGUAACUAGGGUGAAGUCGUAACAAGGUAACCA
This 1460-nucleotide ribosomal RNA is filed under the name uncultured bacterium. Its description in RNAcentral is "bacterial SSU rRNA". It matches the Rfam family "Bacterial small subunit ribosomal RNA". The record is from RNAcentral.